Dendroctonus ponderosae (mountain pine beetle) is the source of this 557-nucleotide long non-coding RNA. RefSeq lists it as uncharacterized. The transcript has 2 exons. NCBI's taxonomy places the organism in Eukaryota, Metazoa, Arthropoda, Insecta, Coleoptera, Curculionidae. The record is from RefSeq and is a predicted model, not a curated record.
AGAGAUCAAUGAUGAUUGCAUAAAUCAUGUGCUGAAAAUCAUCGAGCCGCAACUUCUCGAACAUAAAAGUUUCCUGAAAGACCGAGAACUCUAUCAAGCAUUGCACGAGUUGGAAAUUGGCGAAGAAGAAAUCAGAAAGUAUCUGUCGGAUAAAUAUCGCACGAUACUGAAGAAAGGAAAUGAGCUGAAUGAGCAUUUCAACAGAUACCCAAAUUACUUAAAUAGGCUGUACGAUUCCAUAAUCAAAUUGUUUUCGAGCCACAACAAACUAAAGGGAACGCAACCGGGAAGGCAAAAAAUCGACCAACUGCAGGCGAAUCUCGAGAAUUAUUCAUUCGCAAAUAUCGUGACUCUAUUUCGACCGGAAUUGAUAAAGGAAAAUCUAAACUAAGUCUUCUAACUUCUAAGGCCUUUUACCGACGGAUUUAUCUGUUGGUUUUCCUCCUGAAAGCUUGCAGCAAAGUGCAAUUGCAAUUGGGGGCCGAAAGCAGCAGGAAUAAUCCCUAAGCCGCUCAAGUGAUUGUAUAUUCCUUACAAAAAUUGCACUGAAAUACUGA